Molecule: non-coding RNA, 1073 nt
Organism: Paramuricea clavata
Lineage: Eukaryota; Metazoa; Cnidaria; Anthozoa; Malacalcyonacea; Plexauridae
Source: the annotation of a GenBank genome assembly
AAUCACAAAUAUUAAGAUAUAUAUAGACAGUCUCCGACAUGAGAAUUACCAUCGCUUAUACUACAGCUGGAUAGUCAGGGAGGCCAGGAAAAACCUGCAAUACAGAAAACCUGAAUGGGGCCAAGACAAUUAACCAGCAGCUUCCCCACAAAGCUUCUAUGUUACAACUUCUCAAUAGGAGCGUUGGUAACGCGACAAACAUAGCUCUAUCUUGGCCAAUUUUUUUAUUUAUUUUUUUUAAUUUUUUUUUUUUAAUUCAUUUAUUCUUUCACUCAGUUUUAAGUGUUUUUGAAGAGACCCAAUAUUUGCCGAACUCUUUGUCUAUUCAAAUUGUUUGCUUGGUGAAGUAACUAAUUAAUUAAGCAUAGAGGAUUAGAGCGUUUCCAGUUGAGACAUAAAUCUUGGAAUAGAGCCUAUGUUGGCAUAAAACUUUAUUACACUUCCCGAAUGAGAAAGUUUAUUAAUUAAAAUACCGUUUGUCUGUUUUCCGGUCGAGAAAACGAUGGUGAAAUGGCAGUCGCGUUUAAUGCAGUGGACGAUAACAGUUUUGUUUAAUAUUGUUGCAGUUUGCUUGAAUUUUUCAACGUAUCAUAAAGGAAAGUAUUCGUAUAAUACAGUUUCUUGGUUUAUUCGAUAUUGCAUUGCCAUUGGUUUGGUCCUCGCCUGUCUACACUACAGACCAGUUUUGAAUUAUUUGAAAUCCUUAGUUUUAUUAUACAGAUAUAUGAAAUUGGCAACAAUGUUGAUUGUUUAUACUGUAUUAUCAUUGUGUUUCCCUCCCAGAUCGAAAGCGUUGCAAUACUGAUAAGUAAAAUAUAUAUACACAGUGCCAGUCAGUGGUCUUAUUUUACCUUUCAUUAUAAACAUAUCCAAGCUUUUACAGUCUAUAUAAACUAUAGACAUAGUAAAACACACAUGACAUUGUUAUUGAAUAUUGAGUAUUGUGUCUAUUGAGUAUUGACUGAUUUUAUAUAUCGGCAUCGUGAUUUUUAGAGUACAGUACAUCGUCAAUAUAUACAACUGUCUCUACUGUAUUUUCUUCAAGAAAAGAAAAUUCAACCGCAACGCAAAAC